AGAGUUUGAUCAUGGCUCAGAACGAACGUUAGCGGCGCGCCUAACACAUGCAAGUCGCACGAGAAGGGGCUUCGGCCCUUGUACAGUGGCGCACGGGUGAGUAACACGUGGGUAACGUUCCCUCAGGCGGGGGAUAACCUUCCGAAAGGAGGGCUAAUACCGCAUAAGACCACGGCCUCGAAAGGGGCUGAGGUCAAAGC
Molecule: ribosomal RNA, 200 nt
Filed under: uncultured bacterium
Lineage: Bacteria
Description: partial 16S ribosomal RNA
Rfam family: Bacterial small subunit ribosomal RNA
Source: RNAcentral